Molecule: long non-coding RNA, 530 nt
Filed under: Elaeis guineensis (African oil palm)
Lineage: Eukaryota; Viridiplantae; Streptophyta; Magnoliopsida; Arecales; Arecaceae
Description: long non-coding RNA (EGUI_LNC044815)
Source: RNAcentral
UCAUGAUCAAUGGCACUCCAGUGGACUUCUUUUACUCCUCUGUUGGUCUCUACCAAGGUUAUCCUCUGUCUCCUUACUUGUUCCAUAUUUGUAUUGAUGCCUUGUCUUAUGCUUUGCGACCGGUGACCAUUAGUCAGGUUAUAGACCCUUACAGGCUAGCUCCUGAAGCCCAACUGCUCUCGCACCUGCUCUGCACUGAUGAUUGUCUGUUGGUCGGACGUGCUUCUAUUUGGAAUGCAGUAGCUUUUAGAAAGAUUAUGGAGGACUACUGCCUUGCUUCUAGUCAAAAAGUGAACCUAACAAAGUCAGAUAUCUAUUUUAGCUUGAAGGCCAGUGUUCAACAUAGACAAGCGAUCAGGGAGAUUCUUGGUAUUGUAGAGCAUUCGGGAGUCCUGCGCUACCUCAAGGUUUCUAUCACAGGAUAGCACCUUUGGAGGUCCGAAUGUGCUGAGCUGGAGGAUUUGAUUCGAGGACAGCUUGAGGGUUGGCAAUCCAAGGUGCUGUCGAUGAUGGCUAGAGUCACCCUGAUC